GAACUUCUAGGAGAUGUGGUGUUUCAUCACUUGGAUAUAUGUAUAGUUUCAGUAUAGUUACUUUGGAAAUUCUAGCAAGGCUUGAUAUUUCUCUAUUAUAGGAGUUAGGUCUAUGUAAAUUACCACAAAUUCAUUUUCCAAUACAAAACCAUGGUUUUGAUAGCAUCAUCUUAUACAAGGACCCUUAACAGAUUAGCUAUAACGCCCUAACAUUCACUAAAUAAAUUUUGGUCUUUCAUGUUUAACCUCUCAAAACAACCCUUAGCUUGGGACUUCAUUGGUCUUCCUAGUAACAUUAAGUGUUGAAGUUAAUGCAUUUUCCAAGUUUAGACAAUUCUCCUCACGAUAUUGUAGUGUCUCAUAUUUGACUAGGAAAUACACAAUGGACCGUUAACAUUUUAGCCUUGUUAGAAGCUAGCACUAUCCUGUUUAAAGACAUUAAGAAUGAUCCUUGUCAACUUUAACACUGCAUAAAAGAAGAAGAAAAAAACAUGGUUUUAUGCCCCAUGUCCUAAAGGUAACCAAAGGAUAGGUUUCAGUUUCAUCUAUAUGUGAAUGGGUAAUCUAGCUAAUCUAACUUCUUCAUCAAUAAUAGGCUUUUAUUGUGGGCUCAAGUUCAACCAUAAUAAGUUACUUGAAACUCUACUUAGGCUACUAGGUUUCCUUUUGUAGUCCCAUAUAUGAGAGCAAAUUUCCCAUUUAGUUGAGAACUGGUUAUAUGAGCUUUAAGACCUUCUAGUGUCACCUUCCUCUUUUUAAUCUUAGGACAAGGGUCCAAGGUGUGUUCAACUCAAAAUUUCUUUUUAU
Molecule: long non-coding RNA, 807 nt
Filed under: Populus tremula
Lineage: Eukaryota; Viridiplantae; Streptophyta; Magnoliopsida; Malpighiales; Salicaceae
Description: long non-coding RNA (PTRE_LNC003137)
Source: RNAcentral